Molecule: small RNA, 164 nt
Filed under: Chrysemys picta bellii (western painted turtle)
Lineage: Eukaryota; Metazoa; Chordata; Testudines; Emydidae
Description: TUC338 (ENSCPBG00000018039.1)
Source: RNAcentral
UUGACAGUGCUGGCGACUGAAGCCCUCUGUUUAUCACAGAGCAGAUACAGCAAAGGCAUCUGCAAAGCAAGCUUCCCCAACACCAAGUCCCGCCAGCGUGCCUCAGACCCAGAGAUGCCCAAAUCAAGAGACCAUUAGUGAAAGCUUGUCAACUUUCCACAGCC